Molecule: long non-coding RNA, 472 nt
Organism: Mus musculus (house mouse)
Lineage: Eukaryota; Metazoa; Chordata; Mammalia; Rodentia; Muridae
Product: predicted gene, 33551
Exons: 5
Source: RefSeq, a predicted model, not a curated record
AAGUUACUGUUUUCCUAUAUAUGUCUGUCUAACCUAUAAUUUGUUAUAUAGAACAGCUGGCCCACAACUCACAGAGAUCCACUUGCUCCUGCUGCCUGUUCAGGGGAUUAAAGAUGUUGAACUCAAGACCUCUUGUGUGCAAGGCAAUCAUUUCACUGAAAAGACAUUCUGGAGAGUCUGUGGCAUGUUGGUGACAGAGCCAAUGGAAAGAGAAUUCCAUGGAAUGCUGAGGAAGCAAGUGCCAGGUCCACGUAGCUAUGACUGAAGACAGAGCUGCCUCAAGGGUGUGGUUGAAGUAAAAACAGUCUCCAACACAUAUGGAUGGGCAAAGCACUGAGAGCUCCAAGGAGGAGGUGGAAAGAGCCAUAAGGGAUGGAGGACACCAGGAGAAUAAGGUGCUCUAAAUCAACUCACAAAACCCACAGUAACUGACAGAGAGUGAAACAGCAAGGAUAAGACUGACAUGGGUCUG